CCUACGGGAGGCAGCAGUGGGGAAUAUUGGACAAUGGGGGCAACCCUGAUCCAGCAAUGCCGCGUGUGUGAUGAAGGCCCUAGGGUUGUAAAGCACUUUCACUGGUGAAGAUGAUGACGGUAGCCAGAGAAGAAGCCCCGGCUAACUUCGUGCCAGCAGCCGCGGUAAUACGAAGGGGGCGAGCGUUGUUCGGAAUUACUGGGCGUAAAGGGCGCGUAGGCGGUCUUUUAAGUUAGGCGUGAAAGCCCCGGGCUCAACCUGGGAACUGCGCUUAAUACUGAAAGACUAGAAAACGGAAGAGGGUAGUGGAAUUCCCAGUGUAGAGGUGAAAUUCGUAGAUAUUGGGAAGAACACCAGUGGCGAAAGCGGCUACCUGGUCCGAUUUUGACGCUGAGGCGCGAAAGCGUGGGGAGCAAACAGGAUUAGAUACCCUGGUAGUCCACGCCGUAAACGAUGUCUGCUAGAUGUCGGGGGGUUGCCCCUCGGUGUCUUAGCUAACGCGUUAAGUACCCCGCCUGGGGAGUACGCUCGCAAGGGUGAAACUCAAAUGAAUUGACGG
This 559-nucleotide ribosomal RNA is filed under the name uncultured bacterium. RNAcentral describes it as "bacterial SSU rRNA". It matches the Rfam family "Bacterial small subunit ribosomal RNA", at positions 338 to 916 of the family's 1533-position model. The record is from RNAcentral.